UCACCUCAUAGGGCAUCCCCUGAUCAAGGAUGAUUCCAGACCUAUCGGGUGAACAACUAAACAACUGCCACCAGCCACUGGAAUAGCUGGUCGCCAAUUCUGAAGCGGGAGUAAUCCCAUUCGGACGGUCGACUAUUGCCUUUUUUGGCUGGUGCACG
Regulatory RNA element from Anaerocolumna xylanovorans DSM 12503, 158 nucleotides. It matches the Rfam family "DUF2800 RNA". Rfam says of the family: Actinobacteria, Firmicutes, Synergistetes (1 example). Lineage: Bacteria; Bacillati; Bacillota; Clostridia; Lachnospirales; Lachnospiraceae. The record is from Rfam.